RNAcentral lists this long non-coding RNA (1006 nucleotides) under Moschus moschiferus (Siberian musk deer). RNAcentral's name for it is "lncRNA (ENSMMSG00000017052.1)". The record is from RNAcentral. Lineage: Eukaryota; Metazoa; Chordata; Mammalia; Artiodactyla; Moschidae.
ACGAAGCCUGUUCACGUUCGCCUACAGCUGGCCAGACGGACCUAUGUCCGCGCCUCCCCUGGGAAGCCGACAGUCGAGGGCGUGGUUACCGCCAAAGCUUUCAAACAACUCCCGCGGGAGAAGGAAAUACCGCGAGACUACCGCGAGUGCGUAGAGCGGCGAGAGCUGGAAGAAAUGAAUCCACCGCCUUCAACAUCGCGGUUUGGGCGCAUGCGCUGUCUUUUAAGCAUUUUUCCGAGGAGGGGACUUGGCGUUUUUAAGAGAAAGGGUCAUUGGCUCCCCCGGAAGAGAUAUCCGCCGGGAGUGCGAACCUUGUGGAGUCGACUAUUGGAGCAGAGCUGGUGGCGCUAGGCCUAAUCGGGUCUUGCCGCUGGGGGUGAGGCGAGGAAGAAGAAAGGAUCCUCCAUGGGUUAAGGCUACCUUUGCAGAUGGUCCAGCAACUAAGUCGCCAGUUUCCAAGGGCAUUUGCACCAUCUAUGGAAAACAUCGGAUCAUUGCACACCAGACAGAUCCUUGGCAACUCAUCCCACCAUCCCCCUGCACAAAAGUUACUGCACCAGCUGACAAAGAAGGCAACCACUGAGUUUCUUUUCAUUACUAAAUAGAUACAAUAUCUCUGCCAACAAAAAAGAAUACACAAAGUGUCUCUUCAUGAAAUCUCAACCAGUUGAGACCAUGCUAAGCAAAUCAGCUUAUCUAUAGGAUGACCUCUUCUUUUCUUCAGUAGCCAGGAUUUGAAGGAGAGACUCUGACCUGUGCCACUGGUAAGUGACUAACUUUUACACACUGAACUGGUGCUGAGAACUGCGCUGUCUUCUUUGUAAGUGAAGAAUAUACAACAUAACCUUGAAGAACUGUACAGUGUUGCAAGCCAGAGGCAUACUGUGUGUAUAACAGACUGAGAAACAAGUGAAUCUUACUGAAACAAUUCCUCGUCUUUUGCUUUAUUUGCCAGUGUCAGUGUUUUGCUGGCUUAGAUUGUUACCUUUUCCUGGUAUCUUUUUCC